UCUUUCUUCCACUUACAACAGGUUUCUCCAGUCAACCUCUGGCUGUUAGUGACCUUCUGAUGCCAAGAAACACACCACAUUAAUUAAUAUGCCACAUUCAUGGAACAUUCAUGAGAUCCUAGUUAGAACACAGUUUCUGAGCUUAUGGACAGUAGCACUAGGUAUGUGUCUAGGCCUCUCAGUUCAGCAGGCAUGCAGCUGCACAGAGAUCUCCAGCUGGCAGUUAAAAUCCUUCUACUUAUAAAGAUUCCUGGUGAUGACUUUCAGCUUUGGGUCUUUAGUAUAAAAUCUGUAAAAGUGAAAGAAACCCAUUUGUAGAGCAAGAUACUUAAGCCAAACCAAAGAGAACAGGAGAGAUGAGAGAAAAGUGGAUUCUUGGUUGUGUGUGUACCUCUCAUUCUUUGCCUCAGACUUCCAUACAUGAGUCCAUGAGUGUACUUUUCUGCUUAAGUAACUUUGUGUCCUCCACAUCCUUCCAGUGUAAGUAGAAUUGAUAGAAGAAAUCAAAGUUCAGGAUCAGGAUCAAUGAGGAGCAAAUGAGCAUGCAACAUUCAUGGUGUAAGACAUCAAGAUAGCGAUUGGAAGUGGAGAGAUGGGGCCCCUUGGCAUUCUGAAGUGGAGAAAUGUCAAGGACAUUCCAAUUUGUCCACAGGAAACCUUGUGUCUGGCUAUAAAUGAAGAAGCACCCCUUCCCAUGCUGAAGGAGCUGCUACAGUGAGCCCAUUACCUGGGAAGCAUCGGUUCUUGGGCCCCCAUCUCCACAGCUCUACAACUCUACAACUGAUGCCUCAGUCUUGAGGGAGGAGAGUUAACAUCAUCCUUCUUCCUUCCUAAGAAAGGAAUCAAGAUAAUGCAAAGUCAUUCCCACAGAUCUUCUAAAUUCUCUCACAAACUUAGUUUCCAUGACUGCUACCUUCAGGCAUGUUUAUAUCGUUCAGCAGACCCAGACAAGUGUGGCCAACAGCACAACGCAGAUUCUGGAACAUGAGUGUCUUCUCCCGAUUGUGACAAAAGUGUUCACUGGCCUCUUGUCCUUGAGGAAGUUGCUGUACAUUUUCUUGACAGUCCUCACUUGCAAAUCACAGGUAAUAACACUUCCCAUGUCAUGGGUUUUUGUGAGGAGGGUGAUAGUUAAUAUUUUCAGUGGACUUUGCUUAGCAAAUGCCACACAGCAAGUUUAAGAAAUGAGGUACAGUAUUUGCCAUUCAUCACUAGCCUGGUACAGAGGAGAGACCCCCAACAUGCUACACUGUGAUUGUGCUGGGCUUACUGCUUUCUAGAGGUGCUGAAUUGCUCCCCUGCCAGUUCAUGCUGAA
This 1316-nucleotide long non-coding RNA is filed under the name Chinchilla lanigera (long-tailed chinchilla). RNAcentral's name for it is "lncRNA (ENSCLAG00000025690.1)". The record is from RNAcentral. Lineage: Eukaryota; Metazoa; Chordata; Mammalia; Rodentia; Chinchillidae.